Molecule: ribosomal RNA, 356 nt
Filed under: uncultured Glomeraceae
Lineage: Eukaryota; Fungi; Glomeromycota; Glomeromycetes; Glomerales; Glomeraceae
Description: SSU rRNA
Rfam family: Eukaryotic small subunit ribosomal RNA
Source: RNAcentral
AGCAGCCGCGGUAAUUCCAGCUCCAAUAGCGUAUAUUAAAGUUGUUGCAGUUAAAAAGCUCGUAGUUGAAUUUCGGGGUCAGUAGGUUGGUCGUGCCACAGGUAUGAACUGGCCUCACUGAUUCCUCCUUCCUGAUGAACCGUAAUGCCAUUAAUUUGGUGUUGCGGGGAGACUGGACUGUUACUUUGAAAAAAUUAGAGUGUUUAAAGCAGGCUAACGCUUGAAUACAUUAGCAUGGAAUAAUGAAAUAGGACGUUCGGUCUUAUUUUGUUGGUUUCUAAGAUUGACGUAAUGAUUAAUAGGGAUAGUUGGGGGCAUUAGUAUUCAAUUGUCAGAGGUGAAAUUCUUGGAUUUAU